RNAcentral lists this microRNA precursor (88 nucleotides) under Canis lupus familiaris (dog). Its description in RNAcentral is "mir-8799 microRNA precursor family". It matches the Rfam family "mir-8799 microRNA precursor family". Lineage: Eukaryota; Metazoa; Chordata; Mammalia; Carnivora; Canidae. RNAcentral also lists the same sequence under 1 other name. The record is from Rfam by way of RNAcentral.
GGGAGCGCAGGAUCCUGGGCUGUGUCCCCCAGAGCCCUGAGAUCUGGGGCCUGCGCUGCUGGAAUCGGGCUCCCUGGUCUAGGCUCCC